UAGGGAAUCUUCGGCAAUGGACGGAAGUCUGACCGAGCAACGCCGCGUGAGUGAAGAAGGUUUUCGGAUCGUAAAGCUCUGUUGUAAGAGAAGAACGAGUGUGAGAGUGAAAAGUUCACACUGUGACGGUAUCUUACCAGAAAGGGACGGCUAACUACGUGCCAGCAGCCGCGGUAAUACGUAGGUCCCGAGCGUUGUCCGGAUUUAUUGGGCGUAAAGCGAGCGCAGGCGGUUAGAUAAGUCUGAAGUUAAAGGCUGUGGCUUAACCAUAGUACGCUUUGGAAACUGUUUAACUUGAGUGCAAGAGGGGAGAGUGGAAUUCCAUGUGUAGCGGUGAAAUGCGUAGAUAUAUGGAGGAACACCGGUGGCGAAAGCGGCUCUCUGGCUUGUAACUGACGCUGAGGCUCGAAAGCGUGGGGAGCAAACAGGAUUAGAUACCCUGGUAGUCCACGCUGUAAACGAUGAGUGCUAGGUGUUAGACCCUUUCCGGGGUUUAGUGCCGUAGCUAACGCAUUAAGCACUCCGCCUGGGGAGUACGACCGCAAGGUUG
RNAcentral lists this ribosomal RNA (550 nucleotides) under uncultured bacterium. RNAcentral's name for it is "bacterial SSU rRNA". It matches the Rfam family "Bacterial small subunit ribosomal RNA", at positions 355 to 896 of the family's 1533-position model. The record is from RNAcentral.